This 426-nucleotide ribosomal RNA is filed under the name uncultured prokaryote. RNAcentral's name for it is "bacterial SSU rRNA". It matches the Rfam family "Bacterial small subunit ribosomal RNA", at positions 355 to 774 of the family's 1533-position model. The record is from RNAcentral.
UAGGGAAUCUUCCGCAAUGGACGAAAGUCUGACGGAGCGACGCCGCGUGAGUGAUGAAGGCCCUUGGGUCGUAAAGCUCUGUCAUCAGGGACGAACGGUCACGUCAGGAAAUGGGCGUGAAUUGACGGUACCUGAGAAGGAAGCCACGGCUAACUACGUGCCAGCAGCCGCGGUAAUACGUAGGUGGCGAGCGUUGUCCGGAAUUAUUGGGCGUAAAGCGCGCGCAGGUGGGAUCUUAAGUCUGUUCUGAAAGUUCGGAGCUUAACUCCGUGAUGGGAUGGAAACUGAGAUUCUUGAGUAUCGGAGAGGAAAGCGGAAUUCCCCGUGUAGCGGUGAAAUGCGUAGAUAUGGGGAGGAACACCAGUGGCGAAGGCGGCUUUCUGGACGAUGUCUGACACUGAGGCGCGAAAGCCAGGGGAGCGAACG